This is an RNA transcript of Prunus persica (peach), 2166 nucleotides long. It is a transcript of the gene named probable sarcosine oxidase, with no coding region annotated. The record is from RefSeq and is a predicted model, not a curated record. The transcript has a single exon. Lineage: Eukaryota; Viridiplantae; Streptophyta; Magnoliopsida; Rosales; Rosaceae.
CAGCUCCCGCCCAAUUCAAAGUAUAAAUACUCCACUCCUAGUCGACUUUUCCAUUUUUCAUUUUAAAUUUCUUUCUCUUCUAUUUUUUUUUUUUUGAGUGUUAAUUGUUCUUUAAUGCUAUAAAUAGUGUACCUAUGGCGCAGGUACUUUACGCAGUGGCUUGAUAUGACGCUUCACGAAGAACCUAUCCUACAGGUAACUUCCGAAAGUGUACCUAUGACACAAGUACCUGCGAUUACCUAUACAUACCUGCGACAAGAGCUUACCUAUAUGAUAGUUUUGAAGUUUGGCAUAUACCUUUGACUAGGUACCUGCGAUUACCUAUACGACAGGGCCAUAAUUAAUUGUGGAAGAUACGAUUUCUAAGAUUCUUUCUAUUCUUGGCGUCUGAAGAUUGUUUAACGCGAUUUUUGAUAUUAUGCUCGCAUUUAGGUUAUCCGAUUUCUAUCUUAGGUGCAAAAUUGGAAGCACAACGUAAAUUAAAAAAUUAAGAAAAUAAAAUAUAAACCUUAGAAAUUAAAAAAAGGUAAGUAAUCCUACAUGGCACAAAAGUCAGAAGACUUGAAUUACUAACAACAAAUGUGUGGAUUGCACCCAAAUUUUAUCAUAAGAAUUGGACUUAUACCGAAUUUUCUACUUUAAAAACACACUCUCACUGACUCUCGAGCAAUUCGACUUCCUCUACCACCUGUGGCACGUAGCCAGCAAAAAUCACAUGUCAACCGUCUUCCUCUGUCUUCUUCUUCUUCCUCCAACAAUCGCCUGAAAAAUUUCGCACAAAUGGAAUAUUCCGCCGAUGAAUUCGACGUCAUCGUGGUCGGAGCCGGCAUCAUGGGUAGCUCCACCGCCUACCAGACGGCCAAGCGUGACCAGAAGACCCUCUUCCUCGAGCAAUUCGACUUCCUCCACCACCGCGGCUCCUCCCGUGGCGCGGUUGGCGAGUCCUGGACGAUCCGCGCCACUUACCCAGAAGGUUCUCGAGUCCUACAAGCUCUGGCAGGAAGCCGAGUCCGAGAUCGGCUACAAUGUCUACUUCAAAGUUCACCAUUUGGACAUGGCCCCGGCAAACAACAAAGUUCUGCAUGCCAUUGUUGAGAGCUGUGGUAAAAAUUCGGUCCCCUUUCGGGUCAUGAAGCGGGACCAGCUGGAUCGGGAGUUCUGGGGUCGGGUUCGGAUUUCGAAGGAUUGGGUGGCCGUGGCGACGGAGCAUGGUGAGGUUAUUAAACCCACCAAGGCUGUGUCUAUGUUUCAAACACUUGCUCUGUAGAAUGGUGCCGUUUUGAGGGACAAUAUGGAGGUGAAGGGUGUGGAGAGAGAUGGGGUGAGAAAGGGGGUUUGGGUGUGCACAGAAAAUGGAGAGAGGUUUUGGGGGAAGAAGUGUGUGGUGACCGUUGGGGCUUGGACUACAAAGUUAGUUAAAACGGUUGGUGGAAUUGAGCUGCCUAUGCAGCCAUUGGAGACUGCUGUUUGUUAUUGGAGGAUUAAGGAGGGGCAUGAGGGUGGUUUUGCCAUUGGUGGUGACUUUCCAACCUUUGCUAGCUAUGGGGAUACCUACAUUUAUGGGACACUCUCUUUGGAGUACCCCGGUUUGAUCAAGGUUGCCGUGCAUGGCGGGUACCCAUGUGACCCGGAUAAGAGGCCGUGGGGACCCGGGAACCCGCUGGCUCCGUUGAAGGAGUGGAUUGAGGGGAGGUUCUCCGGUGUGGUUGACUCCGGUGGGCCGGUGGCCACUCAGCUGUGUAUGUACUCCAUGACCCCGGAUGAGGACUUUGUGAUUGAUUUCUUGGGUGGGGAGUUUGGGAAGGAUGUGGUGGUGGGUGGCGGGUUUUCGGGUCACGGGUUCAAGCUGUCUCCGGUGGUGGGGAGGAUAUUGGCUGACCUCGCACUUAGUGGGGAGGCUCAAGGAGUGGAGCUAAAGCACUUUAGGAUAGCAAGGUUUCAAGAGAAUCCUAAAGGCAAUGUUAAAGACUUCCUAUAGAUCAUUGAUGCUAAUUUGAAGCAGAAUUGGGUAGCUUCCAUCUGUGGCCAAUAAUUUGAAGCACUUUAAUAUAGCAAACUGUAUGCGAUUAUGUGUGAGUGACUAUGUAUGUGUGUGUUGGACAAAUUGACACAAUAAACACACUGCUUCAUUUGGUGUUCAAUGAUCCUCGAAAUGUUGCAUCAAUU